This 260-nucleotide long non-coding RNA is filed under the name Glycine max (soybean). Its description in RNAcentral is "long non-coding RNA (GMAX_LNC000388)". The record is from RNAcentral. Lineage: Eukaryota; Viridiplantae; Streptophyta; Magnoliopsida; Fabales; Fabaceae.
UUCCUUGGAAUAAAGGAACUCCCAGGUAGGUGAAGGGAAGCACUCCAUGAGUGAAACUGAUUAAAUCUGAAAUGAUAGAAAUUCGGCCAGGGGAGAUGCUACUGGAGUAAAAAUGAGAUUUUUCUUUGUUGAUCAACUGACCAGAAGCUUCAACAUAUUUAUCAAAGAGGAGCAUUAUAUGCUUUAUAUUUCUUUUAGUGCCUUUGCAGGAAAUUAGAACAUCAUCAGCAUACAUGACAUGAGAAGAAGUGUUGAAAUGC